Molecule: transfer RNA, 77 nt
Filed under: Candidatus Phytoplasma solani
Lineage: Bacteria; Bacillati; Mycoplasmatota; Mollicutes; Acholeplasmatales; Acholeplasmataceae
Description: tRNA-Ile
Rfam family: tRNA
About the family: Transfer RNA (tRNA) molecules are approximately 80 nucleotides in length. Their secondary structure includes four short double-helical elements and three loops (D, anti-codon, and T loops). Further hydrogen bonds mediate the characteristic L-shaped molecular structure. tRNAs have two regions of fundamental functional importance: the anti-codon, which is responsible for specific mRNA codon recognition, and the 3' end, to which the tRNAs corresponding amino acid is attached (by aminoacyl-tRNA synthetases). tRNAs cope with the degeneracy of the genetic code in two manners: having more than one tRNA (with a specific anti-codon) for a particular amino acid; and 'wobble' base-pairing, i.e. permitting non-standard base-pairing at the 3rd anti-codon position.
Source: RNAcentral
GGGCCUAUAGCUCAGCUGGUUAGAGCACACGCCUGAUAAGCGUGAGGUCGGUGGUUCAAGUCCAUUUAGGCCCGCCA